Molecule: transfer RNA, 87 nt
Filed under: Anaerolineaceae bacterium
Lineage: Bacteria; Bacillati; Chloroflexota; Anaerolineae; Anaerolineales; Anaerolineaceae
Description: tRNA-Ser
Rfam family: tRNA
About the family: Transfer RNA (tRNA) molecules are approximately 80 nucleotides in length. Their secondary structure includes four short double-helical elements and three loops (D, anti-codon, and T loops).
Source: RNAcentral
GGAGAGGUGCCAGAGCGGACGAUUGGGCCUGUCUCGAAAACAGGUGUAUCCUCACGGGUACCGUGGGUUCGAAUCCCACCCUCUCCG